GAUCUCCCUGCGGGAGAGAGCGAUUCGCCAGAGCCUUGCGGCGCCGGCAAUCGUCGCCGAAGGCGCAACCGGCCCCCGGAAACGCUCAGGCAGAAGGACCGCAGGAUAAUA
This 111-nucleotide non-coding RNA is filed under the name Rhodovastum atsumiense. Its description in RNAcentral is "Glycine riboswitch aptamer". It matches the Rfam family "Glycine riboswitch aptamer". From Rfam's summary of the family: This family represents the bacterial glycine riboswitch. Lineage: Bacteria; Pseudomonadati; Pseudomonadota; Alphaproteobacteria; Acetobacterales; Acetobacteraceae. The record is from Rfam by way of RNAcentral.